RNAcentral lists this long non-coding RNA (716 nucleotides) under Ficedula albicollis (Collared flycatcher). RNAcentral's name for it is "lncRNA (ENSFALG00000023303.1)". The record is from RNAcentral. Lineage: Eukaryota; Metazoa; Chordata; Aves; Passeriformes; Muscicapidae.
AAUGUCAUCAAACGAGUGGGGUCUGAUGUCCAGUGUGGACACUGAUAGCCUGGAUGUCAUCAAACGAGUGGGGUCUGAUGUCCAGCUUGGAAAGUUUGGCUUUAAGUGUACACUCACCUACUGAUUUGGAGCCAAGGUUUUGUUCAGCUCUGCCAGGUGCAGUGCGUGGCUGCUGGGCUGUAACCUCAGCACCAUCCCAUGGCCACCCUUGCCAGGAGAACAGCACAGAAGAAAUUAUCUCCUGCAGGACUAUCAUGUGUUUGGGACUUCAGUGGUGCUAUUCAAGUCCCUCAGUGAAAGUCCUAUCAUACAGACUGCAGUUAUUUUGCUGAUGUGCUGUUCCUUUUGGCUAUAAAAGCAUCAGUAUGCUGCACAGCCUUGAAAAGAGAAGAAUACAUAGACACAAAAACCCCUCACAAGUGGUUACGGUACCUCCGCAGCCCCUUAUGCAACAGGGUUUUGGCCAGGCCCGAGGGGCUCCGGCCCCACACGGAUGCAGACCAACCUCGCGUGCCUCGGCACAGCUUCGCAGGUCGGGGCUAAUUCUGCAGAAGCAUCUCUUUUGUGUUGAAGGAUUUUGCAGCGUUUCAGCAAGAUAUUUCAGCGAUCAGUCAUCACUUCGCCGUGCGUAUCCUCCCCCAGCUGCCACUCAAGCUGUCACUCGGAGCAGCGGUCCAAGAGACGCUGCUCACACGGGCAGCGCAAGGGCAGCAUAA